CCGUAGCCCAAGAGAUCGGGAUAACACCUGGAAACAGAUGCUAAUACCGGAUAACAACAGAUGAUGCCUAUCAACUGUUUAAAAGAUGGUUCUGCUAUCACUCUUGGAUGGACCUGCGGUGCAUUAGCUAGUUGGUAGGGUAACGGCCUACCAAGGCGAUGAUGCAUAGCCGAGUUGACAGACUGAUCGGCCACAUUGGGACUGAGACACGGCCCAAACUCCUACGGGAGGCAGCAGAC
RNAcentral lists this ribosomal RNA (239 nucleotides) under uncultured Lactobacillus sp. Its description in RNAcentral is "partial 16S ribosomal RNA". It matches the Rfam family "Bacterial small subunit ribosomal RNA", at positions 125 to 354 of the family's 1533-position model. The record is from RNAcentral. Lineage: Bacteria; Bacillati; Bacillota; Bacilli; Lactobacillales; Lactobacillaceae.